Molecule: long non-coding RNA, 751 nt
Organism: Bradysia coprophila
Lineage: Eukaryota; Metazoa; Arthropoda; Insecta; Diptera; Sciaridae
Source: RefSeq, a predicted model, not a curated record
UUUCAGCAAUUUAUCGAAAUUUGGGUUCUAAGAUAGAGAUGUGCGGGCCGCCCGAAAUUCACCUACCCGACCCGGCCCAGCCCGGCCCGACCGGGCUUGGGUCCGGGUUUCAAAAAUUAGUCGGGCUCGGGCGGGCUCGGGUUUCAAAAACAAAGGUUCGGGCUGGCCCGACUUUCUUCGACUUUCAAAAAAAUGUGAAAACUUAAACAAAAAUUUAAAGAAAAAUUGCAAUACAGUCCGAGCGUAAGCUUACUUUCAAGUGUUCUAUAGAUUUGUGAAACUAAAUUAUUAGAGAGUUUGCACAAAUUACGUAUAACUUAUAAGUAAACUUAUAAAUCAGAAUCAGAAUAAGUCAGCUAUAAGUUAUAAGUCUUGGUCUUAUAAGUAAACCAUCUAUAAAGUGAAAGUUAUAAGUUCAGACGGUUAUAUAGGUCAAAAGUAUGAAGUCGAAACUUAUAGAGAUAAGAAGACAGUGGAUCAUAUAGAGCAAUUAAACUUUAGGAACCAGCCUACAACGACGUCAACAAUCCCAAAAAUAAAGAAGUCAACUCACAAAAUCAUGUAAAAUCCAUCAAAAUGUUGAAGUUCUUGGGCUGACAAGAGCUUACGUAAAAAAUCUGAGACAUACCAUCGAAAAUGAUGGUCCUGACUCUGUUGGCAGUUACAGCUCUUCAGGAUGAAGAGCUAUCAAAGCUUCGGAAGUUUGGUCGGCAAGUUUAUCCCUAAAGUCAGAAGAAUUACACUGAGCAAA